CCUGGUGGCGAGUGGCGAACGGGUGAGUAAUACAUCGGAACGUGUCCUGUAGUGGGGGAUAGCCCGGCGAAAGCCGGAUUAAUACCGCAUACGCUCUACGGAGGAAAGGGGGGGAUCUUAGGACCUCCCGCUACAGGGGCGGCCGAUGGCAGAUUAGCUAGUUGGUGGGGUAAAGGCCUACCAAGGCGACGAUCUGUAGCUGGUCUGAGAGGACGACCAGCCACACUGGGACUGAGACACGGCCCAGACUCCUACGGGAGGCAGCAGUGGGGAAUUUUGGACAAUGGGGGAAACCCUGAUCCAGCAAUGCCGCGUGUGUGAAGAAGGCCUUCGGGUUGUAAAGCACUUUUGUCCGGAAAGAAAACCACCUGGUUAAUACCUGGGUGGGAUGACGGUACCGGAAGAAUAAGCACCGGCUAACUACGUGCCAGCAGCCGCGGUAAUACGUAGGGUGCAAGCGUUAAUCGGAAUUACUGGGCGUAAAGCGUGCGCAGGCGGUCCGCUAAGACAGAUGUGAAAUCCCCGGGCUUAACCUGGGAACUGCAUUUGUGACUGGCGGGCUAGAGUAUGGCAGAGGGGGGUAGAAUUCCACGUGUAGCAGUGAAAUGCGUAGAGAUGUGGAGGAAUACCGAUGGCGAAGGCAGCCCCCUG
This 651-nucleotide ribosomal RNA is filed under the name bacterium. RNAcentral describes it as "bacterial SSU rRNA". It matches the Rfam family "Bacterial small subunit ribosomal RNA", at positions 84 to 731 of the family's 1533-position model. The record is from RNAcentral.